This 225-nucleotide ribosomal RNA is filed under the name Clypearia duckei. RNAcentral describes it as "partial small subunit ribosomal RNA". Lineage: Eukaryota; Metazoa; Arthropoda; Insecta; Hymenoptera; Vespidae. The record is from RNAcentral.
UUAAAUCAUUAAAUUAAAAAGAUUUGGCGGUAUUUUAAAUUAUUAGAGGAACUUGUGUAAUAAUUGAUAUUCCCCGAUAAGAUAUACUUAAAAAUUUAUGUAUUGCUGUUUUAAGAUUAUUAUUAAAUAAUUUUUUAAAUUUUUAAUUUAAUUUAAUUCAAGUCAAAAUAUAGUUUAUUUAAGAUAUGAGUUACAUUUUAAUUUUGAGAUUGGAUUUAAUAGUAA